GUAGGUGAACCUGCGGAAGGAUCAUUACAGAGUUCAUGCCCUUACGGGUAGAUCUCCCACCCUUGAAUAUUAUACCUUAGUUGCUUUGGCAGGCCGUGGAAACACCAUGGGCUUCGGCUCGUGUGUGCCUGCCAGAGGAAACAAACUCUGUUUUUAGUGAUGUCUGAGUACUAUAUAAUAGUUAAAACUUUCAACAACGGAUCUCUUGGUUCUG
This 214-nucleotide unclassified non-coding RNA is filed under the name rhizosphere metagenome. RNAcentral's name for it is "partial ribosomal RNA internal transcribed spacer region". The record is from RNAcentral.